UACGAAGGGUGCAAGCGUUGUUCGGAUUUAUUGGGCGUAAAGCGCGCGCAGGCGGAUUGGCAAGUCAGGUGUGAAAUCUCGAGGCUUAACCUCGAAAUUGCGCCUGAAACUACGAGUCUAGAAUCCUGGAGAGGGAAGGGGAAUUUCUCAUGUAGGGGUAAAAUCCGUAGAUAUGAGAAGGAACACCAGAGGCGAAGGCGCCUUCCUGGACAGGUAUUGACGCUGAGGUGCGAAAGCGUGGGGAGCAAACAGG
Molecule: ribosomal RNA, 253 nt
Filed under: uncultured bacterium
Lineage: Bacteria
Description: partial 16S ribosomal RNA
Rfam family: Bacterial small subunit ribosomal RNA
Source: RNAcentral